CCCUUAGAUGUUCUGGGCUGCACGCGCGCUACACUGAUGCGCUCAACGAGUUUUAACCUUGCCUGGAAAGGUUGGGUAAUCUUUUUAAAACGCAUCGUGAUGGGGAUAGAUUAUUGCAAUUAUUAAUCUUCAACGAGGAAUUCCUAGUAAGCGCGAGUCAUCAGCUUGCAUUGAUUACGUCCCUGCCCUUUGUACACACCGCCCGUCGCUCCUACCGAUUGAACGUUCCGAUGAAUACCAUGGAUUGAGAGUCUGAAUGGGUUCGCCUAUUUCUGCUUCUCGAGAAGUGGAGUAAAUCUUAGCGUUUAGAGGAAGGAGAAGUCGUAACA
Molecule: ribosomal RNA, 329 nt
Filed under: uncultured eukaryote
Lineage: Eukaryota
Description: partial 18S ribosomal RNA
Rfam family: Eukaryotic small subunit ribosomal RNA
Source: RNAcentral